Molecule: ribosomal RNA, 406 nt
Filed under: uncultured bacterium
Lineage: Bacteria
Description: partial 16S ribosomal RNA
Rfam family: Bacterial small subunit ribosomal RNA
Source: RNAcentral
AUUGAACGCUGGCGGCAAGCCUAACACAUGCAAGUCGAACGAGUGGCGGACGGGUGAGUAAUGUCUGGGAAACUGCCUGAUGGAGGGGGAUAACUACUGGAAACGGUAGCUAAUACCGCCUACCAUCGGAUUUUCCCAGAGGGGAUUAGCUAGUCGGUGGGGUAAAGGCUCACCUCGGCGACGAUCCCUAGCUGGUCUGAGAGGAUGACCAGCACCACUGGAACUGAGAAACGGUCCAGACUCCUACGGGAGGCAGCAGUGGGGAAUAUGGCACAAUGGGUGCAAGCAUGAUGCAGCCAUGCCGCGUGUAUGAAGAAGGCCUUCGGGUUGUAAAGUACUUUCAGCGGGGAGGCGUUAACCGCAGAAGAAGCACCGGCUAACUCCGUGCCAGCAGCCGCGGUAAUAC